CGGCUCAACCGGGGAAGGGUCAUUUGGAAACUGGGGAACUUUGAGUGCAGAAGAGGAGAGUGGAAUUCCACGUGUAGCGGUGAAAUGCGUAGAGAUGUGGAGGAACACCAGUGGCGAAGGCGACUCUCUGGUCUGUAACUGACGCUGAGGAGCGAAAGCGUGGGGAGCGAACAGGAUUAGAUACCCUGGUAGUCCACGCCGUAAACGAUGAGUGCUAAGUGUUAGGGGGUUUCCGCCCCUUAGUGCUGCAGCUAACGCAUUAAGCACUCCGCCUGGGGAGUACGGUCGCAAGACUGAAACUCAAAGGAAUUGACGGGGGCCCGCACAAGCGGUGGAGCAUGUGGUUUAAUUCGAAGCAACGCGAAGAACCUUACCAGGUCUUGACAUCCUCUGACAAUCCUAGAGAUAGGACGUCCCCUUCGGGGGCAGAGUGACAGGUGGUGCAUGGUUGUCGUCAGCUCGUGUCGUGAGAUGUUGGGUUAAGUCCCGCAACGAGCGCAACCCUUGAUCUUAGUUGCCAGCAUUCAGUUGGGCACUCUAAGGUGACUGCCGGUGACAAACCGGAGGAAGGUGGGGAUGACGUCAAAUCAUCAUGCCCCUUAUGACCUGGGCUACACACGUGCUACAAUGGACAGAACAAAGGGCAGCGAAACCGCGAGGUUAA
Molecule: ribosomal RNA, 664 nt
Filed under: Bacillus subtilis
Lineage: Bacteria; Bacillati; Bacillota; Bacilli; Caryophanales; Bacillaceae
Description: bacterial SSU rRNA
Rfam family: Bacterial small subunit ribosomal RNA
Source: RNAcentral